UCCCUGGUGGUCCAGUGGCUAAGACUUCCUGCUCCCAGUGCAGGGGGCCCAGGUUCGAUUCCUGGUCAGGGAA
RNAcentral lists this transfer RNA (73 nucleotides) under Bos taurus (domestic cattle). RNAcentral's name for it is "tRNA-Trp (CCA) (tRNA-Trp-CCA-6-1)". It matches the Rfam family "tRNA". From Rfam's summary of the family: Transfer RNA (tRNA) molecules are approximately 80 nucleotides in length. RNAcentral also lists the same sequence under 1 other name. The record is from Rfam by way of RNAcentral. Lineage: Eukaryota; Metazoa; Chordata; Mammalia; Artiodactyla; Bovidae.